Molecule: ribosomal RNA, 260 nt
Filed under: uncultured bacterium
Lineage: Bacteria
Description: partial 16S ribosomal RNA
Rfam family: Bacterial small subunit ribosomal RNA
Source: RNAcentral
GCUUGCUCUCUGAUGGCGAGUGGCGAACGGGUGAGUAAUAUAUCGGAACGUGCCCAGUAAUGGGGAACAACUAAUUGAAAGAUUAGCUAAUACCGCAUACGACCUACGGGUGAAAGCAGGGGAUCGCAAGACCUUGCGCUUUAGGAGCGGCCGAUAUCUGAUUAGGUAGUUGGUGGGGUAAAGGCCUACCAAGCCGACGAUCAGUAGCUGGUCUGAGAGGACGAUCAGCCACACUGGAACUGAGACACGGUCCAGACUCC